RNAcentral lists this ribosomal RNA (253 nucleotides) under uncultured bacterium. Its description in RNAcentral is "partial 16S ribosomal RNA". It matches the Rfam family "Bacterial small subunit ribosomal RNA", at positions 524 to 776 of the family's 1533-position model. The record is from RNAcentral.
UACAGAGGGGGCAAGCGUUGUUCGGAAUUACUGGGCGUAAAGGGCGCGUAGGUGGCCUGCUAAGUCGAACGUGAAAUCCCCGAGCUCAACUCGGGAACUGCGUCCGAUACUGGCAGGCUCGAAUCCGGGAGAGGGAUGUGGAAUUCCAGGUGUAGCGGUGAAAUGCGUAGAUAUCUGGAGGAACACCGGUGGCGGAGGCGACAUCCUGGACCGGUAUUGACGCUGAGGCGCGAAAGCCAGGGGAGCAAACGGG